Molecule: ribosomal RNA, 440 nt
Filed under: uncultured bacterium
Lineage: Bacteria
Description: partial 16S ribosomal RNA
Rfam family: Bacterial small subunit ribosomal RNA
Source: RNAcentral
CCUACGGGUGGCAGCAGUGGGGGAUAUUGCACAAUGGGCGCAAGCCUGACGCAGCGACGCCGCGUGAAGGAAGAAGGCCCUCGGGUCGUAAAGCUCUGUUAUCAGGGAAGAAAAUGAUGGCAGUUGAAGAUGAAGCAGCCGCCAAUUACGUGCCAGCAGCAGCCGCAAUACGUAGGGGGCAAGCGUUGUCCGGAUUUACUGGGUGUAAAGGGGGGGGAGACGGGGAUGCAAGACAGAUGGGAAAGCCAGGGGCGCAACCACGGGACUGCUCUUGAAACUGGUUGGCUGGAGUGCAGGAGAGGCAGGCGGAAUUCCUGGUGUAGCGGUGAAAUGCGUAGAUAUUAGGAGGAACACCGGUGGCGAAGGCGGUCUGCUGGACUGCAACUGACGCUGAGGCGCGAAAGCGUGGGGAGCAAACAGGAUUAGAUACCCCUGUAGUC